AGUUGGAUAACUGGGUCAAGAUUCAGUUCCAUUCCUAGUUUUUUGAGGAAUCUCCAUACUGCUUUCCAGAGUGGUUAUAUCAAUUUGCAGUCCCACCAGCAAU
RNAcentral lists this microRNA precursor (103 nucleotides) under Marmota monax (woodchuck). The record is from RNAcentral. Lineage: Eukaryota; Metazoa; Chordata; Mammalia; Rodentia; Sciuridae.